UACAGAGGUCCCGAGCGUUGUUCGGAUUCACUGGGCGUAAAGCGCGUGUAGGCUGCUUCGCAAGUCGGAUGUGAAAGCCCUGGGCUCAACCCAGGAAGUGCAUUCGAAACUGCAGAGCUGGAGUCCUGGAGAGGAAGGCGGAAUUCUCGGUGUAGAGGUGAAAUUCGUAGAUAUCGAGAGGAACACCGGUGGCGAAGGCGGCCUUCUGGACAGUGACUGACGCUGAGACGCGAAAGCGUGGGGAGCAAACAGG
Molecule: ribosomal RNA, 253 nt
Filed under: uncultured bacterium
Lineage: Bacteria
Description: partial 16S ribosomal RNA
Rfam family: Bacterial small subunit ribosomal RNA
Source: RNAcentral